CAAAAGCCUAAAACUCAUGUUUGAAGAGCACAUAUAGUGGAAUACAAAUGUGCUGGGAUAAGGAUUUUUUCUGAAUCCCGCAAUUUUGGUGAUGUACUCUGCAACAGCAUGUUUGUUGUUAUGGCUGUUUUUACUUUGGUUCAGAAGGCAACCCAACUAAGAGAUAGAGUUUCAGUGACAUGAAGAAUGUGAAGUGAACCACCUAUCACCACGCUACUGC
Long non-coding RNA from Daphnia pulex (common water flea), 220 nucleotides. RefSeq lists it as uncharacterized. The transcript has 3 exons. The record is from RefSeq and is a predicted model, not a curated record. Lineage: Eukaryota; Metazoa; Arthropoda; Branchiopoda; Diplostraca; Daphniidae.